RNAcentral lists this microRNA (22 nucleotides) under Cricetulus griseus (Chinese hamster). RNAcentral's name for it is "cgr-miR-1956". RNAcentral also lists the same sequence under 2 other names. The record is from miRBase by way of RNAcentral. Lineage: Eukaryota; Metazoa; Chordata; Mammalia; Rodentia; Cricetidae.
AGUCCAGGGCUGAGUCAGCGGA